GACUGUGCUAAGGUAGCAUAAUAAUUUGUCUCUUAAUUAGAGGCUGGAAUGAAUGGGUUAACUUGGGCUUGACUGUCUCUUUUUAGUCUAAAAAACUUUAGUUUUAAGUAAAAACGCUUAAAUUCUCUAGAGGGACGAGAAGACCCUUCAGAUCUUUCCUAAUAAGUAUGGGUUGAAAUCCUACUGUUAAAGGUUACCUGGGAGGGGGUUUGAACAAUAAACUUUAUUAUAAGUAAAGACUUAAAUCUAUUAAUGUCUAACUUGUUGAUCCUAUUGGAUAGCUUGAAAAGAUACCUGAGGGAUAACAGCGUAA
This 313-nucleotide ribosomal RNA is filed under the name Polyplax arvicanthis. Its description in RNAcentral is "partial 16S ribosomal RNA". It matches the Rfam family "Archaeal large subunit ribosomal RNA", at positions 2021 to 2554 of the family's 2987-position model. The record is from RNAcentral. Lineage: Eukaryota; Metazoa; Arthropoda; Insecta; Psocodea; Polyplacidae.